This 896-nucleotide ribosomal RNA is filed under the name Macaca mulatta (Rhesus monkey). Its description in RNAcentral is "partial 16S ribosomal RNA". The stretch from base 153 to 896 matches the Rfam family "Bacterial large subunit ribosomal RNA", at positions 569 to 1886 of the family's 2925-position model. The record is from RNAcentral. Lineage: Eukaryota; Metazoa; Chordata; Mammalia; Primates; Cercopithecidae.
GCCAAUACUAGCCCUAAGCAUAACCGACACUAAUACCAAACCAACAUGCACUAAACCAUUCACCUACACAAAGUAUAGGCGAUAGAAAUUUUAAUCUGGCGCUAUAGACGCAGUACCGUAAGGGAAAGAUAAAAACCACCCAAGCACAAAACAGCAAGGACUAACUCCUGUACCUUUCGCAUAAUGAAUUAGCUAGAAACAAUUUCACAAAGAGGACUAUAAGCCAAAUUCCCCGAAACCAGACGAGCUACCCAAAAACAGCUAAAAGAGCGCACCCAUCUAUGUGGCAAAAUAGUGGGAAGAUUUCUGGGUAGAGGUGACAAGCCUAUCGAGCCUGGUGAUAGCUGGUUAUCCAAGACAGAAUCUUAGUUCAACCUUAAGCUUACCUAUAGAACCACCUAAUCCCCCUGUAAGCUUAAUUGCUAGUCUAAAGAGGGACAGCUCUUUAGACACUAGGAAAAAACCUUAUAGAGAGAGUAAAACCCUCAAUUACCACAGUUGGCUUAAAAGCAGCCAUCAAUUAAGAAAGCGUUCAAGCUCAACACUAAUCACCCCAAAAAUACCAAACACAUAACUGAACUCCUCACACCACAUUGGAUUAAUCUAUCACCAUAUAGAAGCAAUAAUGCUAGUAUAAGUAACAUGAAUAUUUUCUCCACUGCAUAAGCCCAAAUCGGAUCGAAAACCUCACCGAUACCUAACAGCCAGGCAUAGCAAGCACAAACAAGCCCAUGCUACCUUCACUGUUAACCCAACACAGGCAUGCCUCAAGGAAAGGUUAAAAAAAGUAAAAGGAACUCGGCAAACUUAAACCCCGCCUGUUUACCAAAAACAUCACCUCUAGCAUUACUAGUAUUAGAGGCACUGCCUGCCCAGUGACACACGUUUAACGGCCG